This 429-nucleotide ribosomal RNA is filed under the name Bacillota bacterium. RNAcentral describes it as "Firmicutes bacterium partial 16S ribosomal RNA". It matches the Rfam family "Bacterial small subunit ribosomal RNA", at positions 355 to 776 of the family's 1533-position model. The record is from RNAcentral. Lineage: Bacteria; Bacillati; Bacillota.
UAGGGAAUCUUCGGCAAUGGACGGAAGUCUGACCGAGCAACGCCGCGUGAGUGAAGAAGGUUUUCGGAUCGUAAAGCUCUGUUGUUAGAGAAGAACGUUGGUAGGAGUGGAAAAUCUACCAAGUGACGGUAACUAACCAGAAAGGGACGGCUAACUACGUGCCAGCAGCCGCGGUAAUACGUAGGUCCCGAGCGUUGUCCGGAUUUAUUGGGCGUAAAGCGAGCGCAGGCGGUUCUUUAAGUCUGAAGUUAAAGGCAGUGGCUUAACCAUUGUACGCUUUGGAAUGUGGCGGAGUUGAGUGCAGAAGGGGAGGGUGGAAUUCCGGGGAUAACGGUGAAAUGCGUAGAUAUAUGGAGGAAAACCGGUGGCGAAAGCGGCUCUCUGGUCUGUAACUGACGCUGAGGCUCAAAAGCGUGGGGGGCAAUCAGG